AGUGAACGCUGGCGGUAGGCCUAACACAUGCAAGUCGAACGGCAGCACAGUAAGAGUUUGCUCUUACGGGUGGCGAGUGGCGGACGGGUGAGGAAUACAUCGGAAUCUACUUUUUCGGGGGGGAUAACGUAGGGAAACUUACGCUAAUACAGCAUACGACCUACGGGUGAGAGCAGGGGAUCUUCGGACCUUGCGCGAUUGAAUGAGCCGAUGUCGGAUUAGCUAGUUGGCGGGGUAAAGGCCCACCAAGGCGACGAUACGUAGCUGGUCUGAGAGGAUGGUCGGCCACACUGGAACUGAGACACGGUCCAGACUCCUACGGGAGGCAGCAGUGGGGAAUAUUGGGCAAUGGGCGCAAGCCUGAUCCAGCCAUACCGCGUGGGUGAAGAAGGCCUUCGGGUUGUAAAGCCCUUUUGUUGGGAAAGAAAAGCAGCAGGUUAAGACCCCGCUGUUCUGACGGUACCCAAAGAAUAAGCACCGGCUAACUACGUG
RNAcentral lists this ribosomal RNA (492 nucleotides) under uncultured bacterium. Its description in RNAcentral is "partial 16S ribosomal RNA". It matches the Rfam family "Bacterial small subunit ribosomal RNA", at positions 29 to 507 of the family's 1533-position model. The record is from RNAcentral.